GAGCGGCGGCAGGCUUACACGAUGCAAGUCGAACGCGACCGCAAGGUGAGUGGCAGACGGGUGAGUAACGACGUGGGAACGUACCCUUGUUGUUCGGAGAUAACCCAGGAAACUUGGGCUAAUACCGGAUACGCCCUUUGGGGGAAAGGUUUACUGCAGAAGGAUCGGCCCGCGUCCGAUUAGCUUGUUGGUGGGGUAAUGGCCUACCAAGGCUUCGAUCGGUAGCUGGUCUGAGAGGAUGACCAGCCACAUUGGGACUGAGACACGGCCCAAACUCCUACGGGAGGCAGCAGUGGGGAAUAUUGGACAAUGGGCGCAAGCCUGAUCCAGCCAUGCCGCGUGAGUGAUGACGGCCUUAGGGUUGUAAAGCUCUUUUACCUGGGAAGAUCAUGACGGUACCAGGAGAAUAAGCCCCGGCUAACUUCGUGCCAGCAGCCGCGGUAAUACGAAGGGGGCUAGCGUUGUUCGGAUUUACUGGGCGUAAAGGGCGCGUAGGCGGGCGACUAAGUCAGGGGUGAAAUCCCAAGGCUCAACCUUGGAACUUGCCUUUGAUACUGGUUGUCUUGAGUCCGGGAGAGGUGAGUGGAACUGCGAGUGUAGAGGUGAACACUUCGUA
Molecule: ribosomal RNA, 616 nt
Filed under: uncultured bacterium
Lineage: Bacteria
Description: bacterial SSU rRNA
Rfam family: Bacterial small subunit ribosomal RNA
Source: RNAcentral